AGAGUUUGAUCCUGGCUCAGGACGAACGCUGGCGGCGUGCCUAAUACAUGCAAGUCGAGCGAGGGUCUUCGGACCCUAGCGGCGGACGGGUGAGUAACACGUAGGCAACCUGCCUGUAAGAUCGGGAUAACAUAGGGAAACUUAUGCUAAUACCGGAUAGAGUAUUUUCUUGCAUGAGAGAAUACGGAAAGAUGGCGCAA
This 200-nucleotide ribosomal RNA is filed under the name uncultured bacterium. RNAcentral's name for it is "partial 16S ribosomal RNA". It matches the Rfam family "Bacterial small subunit ribosomal RNA", at positions 8 to 213 of the family's 1533-position model. The record is from RNAcentral.